AUUAGCAGGAAGUCUCAAUUGCCAAUAGGAUUCUCAAAGGGGUUAUGGCCAGGUAGAAUCAAGUUCAGUUUUGAUGUCAACUCCAUACAAUCUUGUGAUCAAUGCUAGUUUGCCAAUUCAAUCAAGAUCAGUUCGGAAUUGGAAGUACUUCGAAAUUGCAGCAAGUUUUCACUUUUCAUUGAUUACAAAGCAACCGAAUGGUGGGCAUGUCAAUAAAGUACAAAUCAAGAACACCAGGUAUGUAAUUGCAAGCUAUAAUAAAAAGGUUUCCAAAUUGAGAAGCAAACAGAAAACCCAGGAAGAGUGUAAAUACGUUUAAAAUAACACAGCGAAACAACAUCUGGGAUUCCAGAAAAUAGCGUAAGCAAAAAAAAUUUCGUCAACGGUUCAGAUCGAUCCACCAGCCAAGCGCUAACGCGUGAGCUCACUAAUCAGUGGUCAA
RNAcentral lists this unclassified non-coding RNA (442 nucleotides) under Hevea brasiliensis (rubber tree). Lineage: Eukaryota; Viridiplantae; Streptophyta; Magnoliopsida; Malpighiales; Euphorbiaceae. The record is from RNAcentral.